UGACAGAGCAUGUGUAAACUUACAGAAAUGCUGAAGCCAGAUUAUAACCUAGAGAUAGUUUAGUUGAUUUUCUCCCAGAAGCCUUUGCUGACCUUAAACAAAUAAACAGCCAGUUUUUUCUCCAGCGAAAAUGGAUUCAUUCGGGAUCAAGCAAAGAAUUGCAAUUUGGAGUCUGCAACCAUGAGAGAGGGAUAGACAGAGAAGAAUGAGAUGAGGAAGGAAGACAGGGAACCUCAACUAUCCCCCCGGUGCAUAGUUGUGUAUUCUUCGUUGUGGGUUCUUCUAGUUGCGGCAUGUGGGACGCUGCCUCAGCGUGGUCUGACGAGCAGUGCCAUGUCCGCGCCCAGGAUUCAAACCAACGAAACACUGGGCCGCCUGCAGCGGAGCGCGCGAACUUAACCACUCGGCCACGGGGCCAGCCCCCUCUUUCGUAUAUUUAACAAGGCCUUUUUAUCCAUGACAGCUACAAAGUAGGACAAUGUCAAAGCAAACUGGGGGAAAUAUCUUUUUAAUGUUUCAUUUAAAUGAAAAGUGAAGCAUUCGUGGAAAUAUUUUAUAUAUUCAUUACAAU
This 571-nucleotide long non-coding RNA is filed under the name Equus asinus (donkey). Its description in RNAcentral is "lncRNA (ENSEASG00005027547.1)". Lineage: Eukaryota; Metazoa; Chordata; Mammalia; Perissodactyla; Equidae. The record is from RNAcentral.